GGCAGAGGGGGGUGGAAUUCCACGUGUAGCAGUGAAAUGCGUAGAGAUGUGGAGGAACACCAAUGGCGAAGGCAGCCCCCUGGGUCGAUACUGACGCUCAUGCACGAAAGCGUGGGUAGCAAACAGGAUUAGAUACCCUGGUAGUCCACGCCCUAAACGAUGUCAACUAGGUGUUGGGAGGGUAAAACCUUUUAGUGCCGUAGCUAACG
This 209-nucleotide ribosomal RNA is filed under the name uncultured Candidatus Accumulibacter sp. RNAcentral describes it as "partial 16S ribosomal RNA". It matches the Rfam family "Bacterial small subunit ribosomal RNA", at positions 650 to 857 of the family's 1533-position model. Lineage: Bacteria; Pseudomonadati; Pseudomonadota; Betaproteobacteria. The record is from RNAcentral.